UACGAAGGGGGGCUAGCGUUGCUCGGAAUUACUGGGCGUAAAGGGCUCGUAGGUGGCCAACUAAGUCAGACGUGAAAUCCCUCGGCUUAACCGGGGAACUGCGUCUGAUACUGGAUGGCUUGAGUUUGGGAGAGGGAUGCGGAAUUCCAGGUGUAGCGGUGAAAUGCGUAGAUAUCGAGAGGAACACCUGCGGCGAAGGCGGGUUGCUGGGCCGACACUGACGCUGAGGCGCGAAAGCCAGGGGAGCGAACGGG
Molecule: ribosomal RNA, 254 nt
Filed under: uncultured bacterium
Lineage: Bacteria
Description: partial 16S ribosomal RNA
Rfam family: Bacterial small subunit ribosomal RNA
Source: RNAcentral